This 468-nucleotide ribosomal RNA is filed under the name uncultured bacterium. RNAcentral describes it as "partial 16S ribosomal RNA". It matches the Rfam family "Bacterial small subunit ribosomal RNA", at positions 28 to 507 of the family's 1533-position model. The record is from RNAcentral.
GACGAACGCUGGCGGCGUGCUUAACACAUGCAAGUCGAACGGAAAGGCCCUGCUUUUGUGGGGUGCUCGAGUGGCGAACGGGUGAGUAACACGUGAGUAACCUGCCCUUGACUUUGGGAUAACUUCAGGAAACUGGGGCUAAUACCGGAUAGGAGCUCCUGCUGCAUGGUGGGGGUUGGAAAGUUUCGGCGGUUGGGGAUGGACUCGCGGCUUAUCAGCUUGUUGGUGGGGUAGUGGCUUACCAAGGCUUUGACGGGUAGCCGGCCUGAGAGGGUGACCGGCCACAUUGGGACUGAGACACGGCCCAGACUCCUACGGGAGGCAGCAGUGGGGAAUAUUGCACAAUGGGCGGAAGCCUGAUGCAGCAACGCCGCGUGCGGGAUGACGGCCUUCGGGUUGUAAACCGCUAUCGCCUGUGACGAAGCGUGAGUGACGGUAAUGGGUAAAGAAGCACCGGCUAACUACGUG